RNAcentral lists this unclassified non-coding RNA (420 nucleotides) under Hevea brasiliensis (rubber tree). The record is from RNAcentral. Lineage: Eukaryota; Viridiplantae; Streptophyta; Magnoliopsida; Malpighiales; Euphorbiaceae.
GGUCAAUCUCUCCCAAGAAGAGAAACUUGCAAGUGAAGAUGGUUCACAGCAGAUAUUCUAUGGACAAGAAAUGGGUGCUGGUGAUGAGUUGGUUUUGGGUGCCAAUGAGCAAGGAAUUGGACUUGGUGUUCCGCAAAUCUAUCAACAGCCUGUUUCUUGCAUGUCUUCUCAGGUCUGUCCUGAGAAUCCCACAAUGGAACAGCCUUGGAGCAACCUGUCCUAUCCUACUGUGAAUCCUGAUCCAAGGAUGCAAAAUUUUUGCUCUGUCAAUAAUACCAUCAAUCAAUUCAAUAGCUGGACCUGACAUGGGAUUGUGGAUGCUGGAUAUACGAAAUAUGACCAACAUAGUAUAUAUAUUAGCUUCAUCUCGUCUAUAUAACCUUUUUUCCUCUAGUUAGUCAAUGAGAUUAUGGACUGAUC